UAGGGGCCGAGCGUUGUCCGGAAUUACUGGGCGUAAAGCGCGCGCAGGCGGCUGAUCAAGCCUGACGUGAAAGCCCCCGGCUCAACCGGGGAGGGUCGUCGGGGACUGGUUGGCUUGAGGGCGGUAGGGGCCGGUGGAAUUCCCGGUGUAGUGGUGAAAUGCGUAGAGAUCAGGAGGAACACCAGUGGCGAAGGCGGCCGGCUGGGCCGACCCUGACGCUGAGGCGCGAAGGCGUGGGGAGCGAACGGG
This 249-nucleotide ribosomal RNA is filed under the name uncultured bacterium. Its description in RNAcentral is "partial 16S ribosomal RNA". It matches the Rfam family "Bacterial small subunit ribosomal RNA", at positions 528 to 776 of the family's 1533-position model. The record is from RNAcentral.